Molecule: long non-coding RNA, 738 nt
Filed under: Calidris pugnax (ruff)
Lineage: Eukaryota; Metazoa; Chordata; Aves; Charadriiformes; Scolopacidae
Description: lncRNA (ENSCPUG00000010429.1)
Source: RNAcentral
GACAGAACAGUAAAAGAACCAGAGGCAUGUAGAAUGCAAAGUGACUCAGGUAUUCCAGGUAACCCAUGACAUAUUGUAGAGUAAUUACAUUAAGAUUUCUGGCUGGCUAAUAAAAAUUGCAGGAGAAACUGCGCAAGUUUUGGAUAAGAAACGAGAAACGUCUGGGCUGGCUGAGCGUUAACCUUAGUGCAAAUGAAGGAAAAAACGGCUGGCUCAUUUUGGGAUGGUGAAGAGAAGGUGCCCUCUCCUACGCAAGAACUAACACACUUGGGGCUGGAGUCAGCCGAAUCUCCCAACGCUGGAAGUUUCUCAGGGUGCCUCCUUGUUGCUGCUUCAGAACAAAGAACCAAACCUUCCUCUCCAACAACAGCUCAGGUACAAGUGUUUCCUACGCAUAAAGUACUGGGCAGUCAGCUGAAAGACAAGGGAUUUACACAGAUCAACCUUGGCCUCAGGAGAUCAGCCUCCCAGGUCUGUGAUACACACACUCCUCCUUGGGGCAGCUCAGAGCUGAAUACCAAAAUUUAAGGCCUCUCGAUUUCUUUCGGAGUAGUUUUUCUCUCUUCAUUGACUACAGGGGAAGCCUAAAGAAGACACUGGUCUCUCCCAGUUAUACCCUGCCUUGGUGAAUAACUUCAGAGACAGUCUCUCUCACUGCUCCUCAUGUAUGUUAACAGAAUGGCCUUAAAGAGUUUCUGGUCAAAUAAACUUAAUUUUCUAUGAGAGAAAAAAAAUUAC